UAAUAAGUGGGUGUUGUUCUCAGCUGCUAAGUUUGUGGCAAUUUGUUUUGCAGCAAUAGAAAAUUAAUACAUGGGGGAAUACAGAAAAGUAAACAUGAAAAAUUCAAUAGUGACCUGCAAGAUUGCCCAACUCUCUGCUGUUUCCUCUGAUGCUUAUCAGUGGUCCUCUGCCAGGCUCUGCUAACUCAUACGUACUCAUGAAAUCUAUGGGAUCAACACUUUUACAGUACAUCUGGGAGACACCAGAAUGCAACUCAGUAGCAAUGAAGGACAGAGCACUCUCCAAGAGGAAGAGAAGAAUCAUCAGCAGAAUUUGUAACUGCCUUUAUCAACAACUCACAUCUGCUGACAGCUGAUGGUCCAGUGACACUGAAAGAUACAAGGCUAUAGGAAACCACGAGUGGCUUCUAGCUGGGUCUUCAAGUGUGGUCAAGAUUGCAGAAGCAAUGCUGCCAGGAGAAGACCAUCAGCUACUGCAAACCAAGGACAUAAUAUAUGGAACUCCAUCAUGCAGCCAAAGCACUCCAAGUUUAAUCUCCAAGCAUUCAUCUCCCAAGUUCAGAUUUUUUUUCUUCCCUCUUCUCAGCUGGUGCAUUCCCCAACUUCUGAAUGUCUAAAAAUACCCAGCGUGGUUCCCUCUACAAAACACCAGCACCCUGCCAGCUGUUAAAUAAAUAAACUCGAAACAGAAAUGC
This is a long non-coding RNA of Mastomys coucha (southern multimammate mouse), 695 nucleotides long. RefSeq lists it as uncharacterized. The transcript is spliced from 6 exons. NCBI's taxonomy places the organism in Eukaryota, Metazoa, Chordata, Mammalia, Rodentia, Muridae. The record is from RefSeq and is a predicted model, not a curated record.